UACCCCGGAAAGGGAAAACUCUACGUCCGCGGCGACGGCAAAGUCUUCCGCUUCCAGAAUGGCAAGACCGAAUCCCUCUUUCUCCAACGCAAAAACCCUCG
Molecule: small RNA, 101 nt
Filed under: Histoplasma ohiense
Lineage: Eukaryota; Fungi; Ascomycota; Eurotiomycetes; Onygenales; Ajellomycetaceae
Description: hypothetical lncRNA
Source: RNAcentral